This 268-nucleotide ribosomal RNA is filed under the name uncultured bacterium. RNAcentral describes it as "partial 16S ribosomal RNA". It matches the Rfam family "Bacterial small subunit ribosomal RNA", at positions 1234 to 1500 of the family's 1533-position model. The record is from RNAcentral.
CUGUAACAGAGGGAAGCGAAGCAGUGAUGUGGAGCAAAACCCAAAAAAGACAGUCUCAGUUCGGAUUGAAGGCUGAAAUUCGCCUUCAUGAAGCCGGAAUUGCUAGUAAUGGCAGGUCAGCAUACUGCCGUGAAUACGUUCCCGGGCCUUGUACACACCGCCCGUCACACCAUGAGAGUCGGGAACACCCGAAGUCCGUAGCCUAACCGCAAGGGGGGCGCGGCCGAAGGUGGGUUCGAUAAUUGGGGUGAAGUCGUAACAAGGUACC